UAGCUACAGGCUUAACACAUGCAAGUCGAGGGGCGAGCGGGAAGGAAGCUUGCUUCUUGCCGGCGACCGGCGCACGGGUGAGUAACGCGUAUCCAACCUGCCCGCGGCUCAGGGAUAGCCUCGUGAAAACGAGAUUAAUACCUGAUGGUCUUGUUGGUUGACAUCAAUUGACAAGUAAGAUUUAUCGGCAGCGGAUGGGGAUGCGUUCCAUUAGGUUGUUGGCGGGGUAACGGCCCACCAAGCCGACGAUGGAUAGGGGUUCUGAGAGGAAGGUCCCCCACAUUGGAACUGAGACACGGUCCAAACUCCUACGGGAGGCAGCAGUGAGGAAUAUUGGUCAAUGGGCGAGAGCCUGAACCAGCCAAGUAGCGUGAGGGAAUGACUGCCCUAUGGGUUGUAAACCUCUUUUAUACGGGAAUAAAAUGCGCCACGUGUGGUGUUUUGCAUGUACCGUAAGAAUAAGCAUCGGCUAAUUCCGUGCCAGCAGCUGC
Molecule: ribosomal RNA, 491 nt
Filed under: uncultured bacterium
Lineage: Bacteria
Description: bacterial SSU rRNA
Rfam family: Bacterial small subunit ribosomal RNA
Source: RNAcentral